CUCACAGCCAACCACUUGUAACCUCACUCAAGCCAUUAGCUUAGAAUGAAAACCUCAUUUAUAUACUUGCUUUACGUGCUUAUUUUGCUAACUUGUAGUAUUUCCCUGAAAGACAUUUACGAUAUUUCCCCAUUCUCAUUUUAUAUUUCAUACUACUAAUUUUAAAUGGUUCUAUUUUGACUUUCUGACCAAAUGUGCAUUUUAAAAGGGUGAUUUUAAAAGUAUAGAAAGAAUUCUCACAGCUUAGAGUUUCCUUGCAUCACACUUUCUCUUAAAAUGGCACCUGGGAAAUAUUGACCAUUUUAUUGUAGUCUAUUUCCUUUUGUCUUGUGGCUUAUUUCUAUCUGUUUCUGUCAGCUAUGAAAGAUUUAUCCAUAUGCCAAAGAACUGUGAAAUAUUUUAUGAACUUUUCGGAAAGAAUGAUUGAAUAUUAUGUAAGAGCUUAACUCUGUAAAUUUAUAAUAGGCCUGUGACAAUAGAAUUCAGUUUCUGCUAGAGCUCCCUGGUUUUGAGCAUCAUGAAAAGACACCAACCUUGGUGCACUGACACAUUCAAUAUUUCCUACAUCCGGAAAUGUUGGGUUGGAUCUUUUAUUGUGCUGUCCAUUGAGGGGAGCAGAAGGUGCAUUUAAGCUGGUCUAAGAUCAGGAACAGAGAGGGCUGCUGUAGUAUCCUAGGGGUCUACUCCAGUCCCUGGUUACCUCGAAUUUUCCAGUCCCUGGAUGUCUCACCAGUGAAGGUUGUGAAACAGCAAAAAUGGCAGCCUGCACCCUCCUCUGGGAGCUCCAUCCCAAGAAGAUGUUGGCACUUCUUAGGAAGGAGCCAUCCAUGUCUGAAGAGAAGAAAUGAUAAUUAACUUCAUCAUGUGGAAAGCUUUAGAAGGAAGUAUCUUGUCCUUCUGUCCAAACCCGCCUCCUCCUUACCACCCCCAAUAAAAAUAAAAGCCAAACAAAUAAAACAUUAGCAGUAGCUCUGAGUUUCUUCCUUUCACUUUUUCUCUCUCUUCAUGCCUUUUCUCCUCCAUUCCUUCCUUCUUUCAAAUCAUUUUUACUAGUUUAAGAGAAUAAUUCAAUCUAUAUUUAGAAAUCAGACUUAAAACUUCAAAAAUUAUACUGAAAUAGCUUCCCCUUAAAGGGUGAAACAGUCAUGAUAAAAAUAACAACCGAUAGAAUAAAAUAAUAUAAAAUUAGCUGAGUUUAUAGUUUCUUUUACACCUCCAUAAUUUAUGUGGAUUUGGAAAUACAGACAGUAUACUGAAAACUAAGAAGUUUUCUAUGAAUUAUGAGAAUUUGCAAUCCACAUAGGCUUAAGUCUAAUGUUAGAAGAUAAAACAAAUUGACCUUAAAUAACUUUCUGACAUAACCUCCCCAUUUCAUGGAUGAAAAACCCUAAAGCUCUCAUAAGUAAAGUGAUUUACUUCAGGACACAAACUAGUUGAUUUAGUUUGGAUGUUUGUCCCCUCCAAAUCUCAUGUUGAAAUGGAAUCCCCAGUGUUGGAGGUGGGGCCUGGUGGGAGGUGUUUGUGUCAUGGGGCAGAUCCAUUAUCCUUAUGAGCUGCUUGGUGCUAUCCUUGUGAUAGUGAGUGAGUUCUCAUGAAAUCUGGUUGUUUAAAAAUUUGUGGCACCUCCCCACCAGCCUUGCUCCUGCUCUUGCGGUGUGAUAUGCCUGCUGCCUCUUCACCUUACACCGUGAUUAUAAGCUUCCUGAGGCCUCACCAGAAGCAGUU
This 1725-nucleotide long non-coding RNA is filed under the name Homo sapiens (human). RNAcentral's name for it is "HSALNT0077514". The record is from RNAcentral. Lineage: Eukaryota; Metazoa; Chordata; Mammalia; Primates; Hominidae.